CUACGGGGCGCUGCAGUGAGGAAUAUUGGUCAAUGGGCGGAAGCCUGAACCAGCCAUGCCGCGUGAAGGAUGACAGCCUUAUGGGUUGUAAACUUCUUUUGUGGUAGAACAAUAAGGGGUACGUGUACCUUGAUGAGUGUAUAUCACGAAUAAGCAACGGCUAACUCCGUGCCAGCAGCCGCGGUAAUACGGAGGUUGCAAGCGUUAUCCGGAUUUAUUGGUUUAAAGGGUGCGUAGGCGGUUUGGUAAGUCAGUGGUGAAAGUUUGCAGCUUAACUGUAAAAUUGCCAUUGAUACUGUCAGACUUGAGUACAGAUGAGGUAGGCGGAAUGUGUGGUGUAGCGGUGAAAUGCUUAGAGAUCACACAGAACACCGAUUGCGAAGGCAGCUUACUAAACUGUUACUGACGCUGAGGCACGAAAGUGUGGGGAUCAAACAGGAUUAGAUACCCGUGUAGUC
Molecule: ribosomal RNA, 458 nt
Filed under: uncultured bacterium
Lineage: Bacteria
Description: partial 16S ribosomal RNA
Rfam family: Bacterial small subunit ribosomal RNA
Source: RNAcentral